RNAcentral lists this long non-coding RNA (469 nucleotides) under Fukomys damarensis (Damara mole-rat). RNAcentral describes it as "lncRNA (ENSFDAG00000032262.1)". Lineage: Eukaryota; Metazoa; Chordata; Mammalia; Rodentia; Bathyergidae. The record is from RNAcentral.
AUGUCCCUCCAUACCUGGUUUGAGGGCAACUUCUCAAAUUUGGCUGGACUGAGUAAGGGAAAGAGUGGGGGAGAAGCCGGAUGGGGACACAGAAGCGAGUCCAGGAGCUCACUUGGAAGGUGGGGUCACCUGGGUCGGAGGCCUUGGGUGCGAUGUUUGCCUCAGCUGAGCUUUGCGACAGAGGACUUUCUGAAACAAGCUUUCAUUUUAAAAAGUGGAGAACAAAAAGAGGAGAGAGGGAGGAAAGGAACGAGGAAGAGAGAGGAAGGGAAGAAGGAAGGAAGGAAGACAGGCGGGUGGGGCAGCAGUGAUGAAGGGAAGAAAGGAUGUGUGCGCUGAAGAACCUGGAGAGGAGGCCUUGGCGGGCAGGACUGCUGAAGGCUGAGGUUAGCUCCACUUAGCUCAUAGCGCAGGGUGGCGAACCUGUGGCACGUGAGCCACAGCGGGCGGUUCGUUGUCAUUGAAGGCU